RNAcentral lists this ribosomal RNA (198 nucleotides) under uncultured bacterium. RNAcentral's name for it is "partial 16S ribosomal RNA". It matches the Rfam family "Bacterial small subunit ribosomal RNA", at positions 328 to 539 of the family's 1533-position model. The record is from RNAcentral.
ACGCUCGACACCUACGGGAGGCAGCAGUGGGGAAUAUUGCACAAUGGGGGAAACCCUGAUGCAGCGACGCCGCGUGAGUGAAGAAGUAUUUCGGUAUGUAAAGCUCUAUCAGCAGGGAAGAAGAUGACGGUACCUGAGUAAGAAGCCCCGGCUAACUACGUGCCAACAGCCGCGGUAAUCUGAGCGGGCUGGCAAGGC